GAUGAACGCUAGCUACAGGCUUAACACAUGCAAGUCGAGGGGCAGCGUGGAGCAGCAAUGCUCUGACGGCGACCGGCGGAAGGGUGCGUAACACGUGAGCGACUUGCCCGUCACAGGGGGAUAACCGGCGGAAACGGCGACUAAUACCCCAUACGAUGCGAUGCUGCAUGGCAUUGCAUUGAAAGAUUCAUCGGUGGCGGAUAGGCUCGCGGGACAUUAGCUAGACGGCGGGGCAACGGCCCACCGUGGCGACGAUGUCUAGGGGUUCUGAGAGGAAGGCCCCCCACACUGGGACUGAGACACGGCCCAGACUCCUACGGGAGGCAGCAGUGAGGAAUAUUGGUCAAUGGGCGGAAGCCUGAACCAGCCAUGCCGCGUGAAGGACUAAGGCCCUACGGGUCGUAAACUUCUUUAGACGCAGAGCAAUAAGGUCCACGUGUGGACCGAUGAGAGUAUGCGUAGAAUAAGCAUCGGCU
RNAcentral lists this ribosomal RNA (476 nucleotides) under uncultured bacterium. Its description in RNAcentral is "bacterial SSU rRNA". It matches the Rfam family "Bacterial small subunit ribosomal RNA", at positions 28 to 498 of the family's 1533-position model. The record is from RNAcentral.